This 227-nucleotide long non-coding RNA is filed under the name Elaeis guineensis (African oil palm). RNAcentral describes it as "long non-coding RNA (EGUI_LNC041434)". The record is from RNAcentral. Lineage: Eukaryota; Viridiplantae; Streptophyta; Magnoliopsida; Arecales; Arecaceae.
UUCAAAUAAUGAAGGAGAAAAGUUUUGCUUUUGUGGGCAGCAAGCUCAAAUAUGGGCCUUAUGAGCUAGAAGAAACCUAAGUUAGAGGUUCUUUGAUUACCCAUAAUUUCUUUUGCCCUAACUCACCACUUGAUGUUUUCCCUCUUUUGACUUUCAAAAGUGCUUUUGUAUAUAAAAGAUAUUCAUGCUGUGACUACUUUAAAUAGUAUGAUAAUGAAAUAUAUCCC